RNAcentral lists this ribosomal RNA (1244 nucleotides) under metagenome. Its description in RNAcentral is "bacterial LSU rRNA". It matches the Rfam family "Bacterial large subunit ribosomal RNA", at positions 1564 to 2817 of the family's 2925-position model. The record is from RNAcentral.
UGAAUACGAGAUGCUACGGCGUCGAAGCAGUCUAUGUCAUACUUCCAAGAAAAGCUUGCACUGUCAUAAACAAAUAAUGCCUGUACCAUAACCGACACAGGUGGGUAGGUAGAGUAUACUAAGGGGCGCGAGAUAACUCUCUCUAAGGAACUCGGCAAAAUGACUCCGUAACUUCGGGAGAAGGAGUGCCUUAUUUAUAAGGUUGCAAUAACAAGAUCCAAGCAACUGUUUACCAAAAACACAGGUCUCCGCUAAGUCGUAAGACGAUGUAUGGGGGCUGACGCCUGCCCAGUGCCAGAAGGUUAAAGAAGUUGGUUAGCAUCCGCGAAGCUGAUAACUGAAGCCCUGGUGAACGGCGGCCGUAACAAUAACGGUCCUAAGGUAGCGAAAUUCCUUGUCGGGUAAGUUCCGACCCGCACGAAAGGCGUAAUGAUUUGGAUACUGUCUCGGAGAGGGGCUCGGUGAAAUAGACUUGUCUGUGAAGAUGCGGACUACCUGCACCAGGACAGAAAGACCCUAUGAAGCUUUACUGUAACCUGAAAUUGAAAUUGGACUUUACUUGCGCAGUAUAGGUGGGAGGCGUUGAGAAUAUUCUUGCGGGAUUAUUGGAGCCAUCAGUGAGAUACCACUCUUGUAAUGUUAGAUUUCUAACUUUGUAUCAUUAUCUGGUCAAAGAACAGUUUCAGGCGGGCAGUUUGACUGGGGCGGUCGCCUCCUAAACGGUAACGGAGGCGCACAAAGGUUUCCUCUGAACGGGUAGAAAUCGUAUCUAGAGUGUAAAGGCAUAAGGAAGCUUGACUGUGAGACCUACAAGUCGAGCAGGGACGAAAGUCGGUCUUAGUGAUCUGACGGUGCUGAGUGGAAAGGCCGUCACUCAACGGAUAAAAGUUACUCUAAGGAUAACAGGCUGAUCUCCCCCAAGAGUUCACAUCGACGGGGAGGUUUGGCACCUCGAUGUCGGCUCAUCGCAUCCUGGGGCGGUAGUACGUCCCAAGGGUUGGGCUGUUCGCCCAUGAAAGCGGUACGCGAGCUGGGUUCAGAACGUCGUGAGACAGUUCGGUCCAUAUCCGGUGUAGGCGUUAGAAUAUUGAGAGGAGCCUUCUUUAGUACGAGAGGACCGAGAAGGACAUACCUCUGGUGUACCAGUUAUCGUGCCAACGGUAAACGCUGGGUAGCUAUGUGUGGAGUGGAUAACCGCUGAAAGCAUCUAAGUGGGAAGCCCACCUCAAGAUAAGUAUUCUCAU